Molecule: ribosomal RNA, 890 nt
Filed under: Polypedates leucomystax (Java whipping frog)
Lineage: Eukaryota; Metazoa; Chordata; Amphibia; Anura; Rhacophoridae
Description: partial 16S ribosomal RNA
Rfam family: Bacterial large subunit ribosomal RNA
Source: RNAcentral
GCAGCCACCUUUUAAAACGCGUCAAAGCGUAACCUUAACCCCCAAAAUACCACUAAUUUUCAUGAACCCCUAAUUUAUAAUGAAUGACUCCAUAUUUAUAUGGAAGACACCAUGCUAGGAUUAGUAACAAGAAUUUAUAAUUCUCCAAAAUGCAAAUAUAAACCAACAUGGAUGGACCAUUGGUAGUUACCGAACCUAAAUUCAAUGCAAUAACACCCACAAGAAAACUCUGCAAUACUCACUCGUUAACCUAACACCAGCGCAUUACAGGAAAGAUUUAAAAAAAGAGAAGGAAUUCGGCAAAUGACGGCCCCGCCUGUUUACCAAAAACAUCGCCUCUUGACUUAUAAUAAGAGGUCCAGCCUGCCCAGUGAAUUUUAAACGGCCGCGGUAUCCUAACCGCGCGAAGGUAGCAUAAUCACUUGUUCUUUAAAUGGGGACUCGUAUCAACGGCAUCACGAGGGUUUUACUGUCUCCUCUUUUUGAUCAGUGAAAUUGAUCUUCCCGUGAAGAAGCGGGAAUAAAUUUAUAAGACGAGAAGACCCCAUGGAGCUUUAAACCAAAUAACAACUUAACCACUCACCCCAUAAUAAAUUUAAGCCCUGUUAUAAGGUUUUUGGUUGGGGUGACCGCGGAGUAAAGCAUAUCCUCCACGACGAAAAGAACAGAAUCUUUAUUUAAGAACCACACUUCUAGAAAUUAGUAUACUAACGUUUACUGACCCGACAAUCGAUCAACGGACCAAGUUACCCUGGGGAUAACAGCGCAAUCUACUUCAAGAGCUCAUAUCGACAAGUAGGCUUACGACCUCGAUGUUGGAUCAGGGUAUCCCGGUGGUGCAGCCGCUACCGAAGGUUCGUUUGUUCAACGAUUAAAACCCUACGUGAUCU